Molecule: long non-coding RNA, 15786 nt
Filed under: Nicotiana tabacum (common tobacco)
Lineage: Eukaryota; Viridiplantae; Streptophyta; Magnoliopsida; Solanales; Solanaceae
Description: long non-coding RNA (NTAB_LNC011660)
Source: RNAcentral
AGAUACUGAAGCUGAACUCUCUUCAAAUAGGUGUUUUUAACUUAUGUACGUAACACUUUUAAAAAAAAAAAAAAAAAAAAAAACUAUAAGGGGCAUUUUAACUUGUGAUAGCGGGUUAGCUAAUUAGAGAUUACCAUUGUAAUUACCUAAUAAGUGACCUAAUUUGUGUAAAUAAUUAGACACCAUCAGUCCAUGGAACUUAAACUCAUACUUAAAAACUUCCUUUUUAAAAUUCUUCUAAGUAGCAAUACACAUUUGAUUGAUAAGUAGACUUGUCUUGAUAUCUUUUUGCAUUCAUUGUUCAAUAUCAUGCAUUUCUCUGUGUUGCAAGUGAUUUUCUUUUGUAAAUGUAUGUGUUUUUCCGUAAUAUUUUGAUGAGUAGUAUGCUUGCAAAACUAUAGACUUACAAAUUAUUGACUGUAAUUGGCAUUGAUGCUGAAAAGUAAGUUUCUUUUGCCUAUUAUUAAGUAUGUAAUGCGUUGUUCACUUCAAAUGCGCGUGAUUGCUUUUCUGAUGCAGAUGGAAUGGGGACAGCAGAAUGGAGAGCUGCAAAGAGUCCAGCUUAUUACAAAAGAGGAGAUUAUGUUCCUGGUCUGAAGGUACAGUGAAUCACACUUUGCAACUCCUUUUUGUUAAAUGAUUUUGCUUUGUUUUCUCUUUUAUUUUUGGGAGCUGAUAGUGAUGUGCUAGUAGCCUAGUAAUACUCAACUAAACAUUUCUCAUUAAAUCUUGAAUAAACUAAAAUCUGUUAACUUUUGAAUUGAUUUUACUUAUCAAAAAGCAGUUGAAGAUUUCUCUUCAAUUUGAAGCCAGAAUCUAGGCUUUCAUAUGAGCUCUGAUCUUUUUAUGUUAACUGAAUUAAGUGAAACUAGCCUUACAAAUAUUAUGACAAGAGUGGGUUGCUCUAGCGGUGNNNNNNNNNNNNNNNNNNNNNNNNNNNNNNNNNNNNNNNNNNNNNNNNNNNNNNNNNNNNNNNNNNNNNNNNNNNNNNNNNNNNNNNNNNNNNNNNNNNNNNNNNNNNNNNNNNNNNNNNNNNNNNNNNNNNNNNNNNNNNNNNNNNNNNNNNNNNNNNNNNNNNNNNNNNNNNNNNNNNNNNNNNNNNNNNNNNNNNNNNNNNNNNNNNNNNNNNNNNNNNNNNNNNNNNNNNNNNNNNNNNNNNNNNNNNNNNNNNNNNNNNNNNNNNNNNNNNNNNNNNNNNNNNNNNNNNNNNNNNNNNNNNNNNNNNNNNNNNNNNNNNNNNNNNNNNNNNNNNNNNNNNNNNNNNNNNNNNNNNNNNNNNNNNNNNNNNNNNNNNNNNNNNNNNNNNNNNNNNNNNNNNNNNNNNNNNNNNNNNNNNNNNNNNUAGUUUAAUUUUCGGUUGUGAUUGGCAAGAGUUCUUUCUGUUAUAUAAUUUCCUAUAUGUAUAUACCUGUAUGCUGUUGAAAACAAUAAUGUUUUAGAUGCCUCGUGUCAUGUACUCUAAUAAUUUUAUAGGAACUGUAAAAAAGAAAUAGCAAGCUUUGGGCCAAGUAUUAUUGACAGAAGGAAAGAAAAGGAGAAGAAAUAAAAAAGAGAUACUAAAAUCAAAUUGAUACAAUUGCUGUUGUAGCAGUAAUAUAAUUUUUUCCUUUGGGUUUAAUCCUUGUGUUUUCGAGGUCAGAGAGCCCCUUCUGGAAGCAUAAACUUCAUUGUUUAUUUGUUUAUUCAGGAUAAAGAGAACUCAUGAGCCCUUUAAUACUUCCUAAAGUGUCAAUGAAGCCAUUCAACUGUUUUCGACCCGAGCUGCAUCUAAUGUCUUGAUGUCACACUUGGGUAACCUCAACGUUUUUUCCUGAGAAAGAGGGUAACCUCAACAUUAUUCUGUUAAGAAUUCGUGACGAACUGUCAAUCUGAAAGGCAAAAAAGACAUCUUGCAUUAUUUCACUGAGAGUGGCAACAUUUCCGUCCAGGAAUGUAACCCCUGUUUUUCGUAAGAUAAACUGGGAAAGGGAAGGCGAUAAGCACCAGUUUUCUAGGAAAUUUAGUUCGCCUUUGAGUUUGGAGUUAUUGGUCACAACAACCAGACUAUUAACUGAUUCAACUAUUUUCUGCAGCUAACAACUGCUGCACUUCAUCAAAUUCCCUGGCCGACUUAUUUUUCUUAUGCUAUCACGAGACGUCCCACUAUCUUGUCCUCCAGAUUAAAAAGAAUAAAACGAAGUAGUCAAAAGGAAAAAAGGCAAGUAGGUUAUUAAUAAAUUCAUUGCCUCUCAUAUGGGGAUCAUGAACUUAGCCGUAGUCAACAUUGAUUUUAUGUAUGAUCUCUCUAGACACUUGUGUUAUAUCCCUUAAUAAAGACCCUGUUUGUAGUGGACUAAUUAUUAAGAUCAGUUCAGUAAGGUAACCCGCUCAGGCAAGUAUUUCUCUGCCAUUGAAAUUAGAAGAGGAGGAUGCAUGGGCUGAGAAAUGCAUAGCAGUUGAGAUGAUAACUUAAAUAAUUGAAAUAUACCAUUUAUUAAAGAUGGUCUCUCUUCUACUUGGGUCUGUUUUAUAAAAUUUUACUUGACUAGAAUAGAUCAUAUGAACACCUAUCGCUGGUGGUUUAUGCUGAUGUUUCUACUUAGAAUCCUUGAUGGAAGGACUUGGAUUACCAAAUGCAAUAUUAAAAUGUUAGUAGAGUAUUUUCUAGGUGAUGGGCUUACUUUGUGAAUUUUGGAAAAGUUAAAUGGAGCCACAUUGUCGGUGAUGAUUCAUAUAGUUGACCCCAACUUGUUUGGGCUUGAGGUGUUGUUGUUGUUCUAACCAUUUUUCCUUAUUUAUCUUUUAUUUUAUUGGUCAAUAGAAUCCAUAAGCUCAUUGCUAAUGAAUUUUUCUACAUAAGACAAAUUUCAGGAAUUAGUAAUUGGUAGCAAUUAUGCUAACGCUUCUUAGUACUGUACCUUCCAUUUACGGUGUCACAUAUGAUGCACAUUAAUAAUUUGCGCUAAAUGUGCUUUAGUUGAUCAUUCUUUUUGGGCUGCACAUGUUUUUUAGUUUUCUUUUUUCUUUUAUUUGUGAAAGGAACAAUAGGGUGAUGGUUAAAACGAAGUUUGGAAAACGCUAAGAUUAAUACAUGGAAACAGGCUCUUUUUCAAAAAAUGGAACGGUCUAGACGUAGGACAUGUCUUGCAUUGAGGCUUAUGCUAUGUGUUUUGGGGGUUGUAUUAUUUAAUUUCUUGCUGAAUUCAAUGUCAGUUAUGUUCAUACAUUAGUAUUCUUUCCUUUACUUCAUUUUGAGCAUAUUAUAGCAUGUUGACGUUUCUUUCAAUUUUGUUCAGAUUCUUGAAAUGGACACCUAUAGGUACCAUGGUCACUCUAUGUCUGAUCCUGGGAGCACUUACCGAACUCGUGAUGAGAUUAGUGGUGUUAGACAGGUCAAUACAUUCCUUUAGAGUAUCUGAUAUAUCUCAGCCCGUAAACGCCUCGUAUAAAAUCAUAACAAGAUUAUCUUUAAUUUUGCAGGAACGUGAUCCUAUUGAAAGAAUCAGGAAACUCAUAUUAGCUCAUGAUAUAGCCACAGAGAAGGAGCUGAAGGUAAAGACAACUUUCUAAAGCUUGUAGGAAACCACGUAUUAUUUCACCUCGAUCUUGAAAGGACCUCUAACUGUUUUGUGGGUUUCUGUUCCUUCUCUCCAGGAUAUCGAGAAAGAAAAGAGAAAAAUUGUAGAUGAAGCCAUUGCUAAAGCAAAGGUGAGGGUGGUGAUUUUUAUCUUCUAUUCUUUAGCGAUUCUAAAUAUGGUAGUUACCUUUUAAAAAACAAUAAAAAUAGUAGCUGACUAUUAACUGCUUAUACUGUAUUCCAGGAGAGUCCCAUGCCUGACCCUUCUGAGCUCUUUACCAAUGUAUAUGUGAAAGGGUUUGGAGUUGAGGUAUGCACUUGUUCUAAUUCAUUAGUUUAUCCCUUUAUUAUAUACUGAAGACUGUAGUAUCUAUAAAUCAAGUGAUAAUUGAAGACUUUUCAUUGAAGAUAAUCUGCAACUGAUUUUACCCCCAAUCUCCAAAUACUAACGAAGUAGCACAUUACUUUGUGAAGAAUAUUAUGAUAUGGAAAUCCAUCCUUGAAAUAAACUUCAGCAAACAAAGUCUGUGCCUAGUAAUCUACUAAGAGCACUUUGACAAGAGAUAAACACCUAUAUUCAUAUAACCAUAGUUGCUAUGGGCUUAAGUACCCUGUUCUUGUUGUUAUUAUUAUCUCGUGCCUCUUUUAUAAUUGUUUUAACAAGGAGCUAGGGUGACCGGCAGUUUCACACAAUUGUCCCUUUUAUAAGAAUGGCCUAUGGAGUUAAGUUGGCGGGUUUGCUGCUGUAAGCUGACCAUUGAAUAUAGAGAGAACCUUGGUAAAAACUUUUGAGUAUUUUUCUUCUAGUUCCCGCCUCCCGGGACCAAGGAAGAUUUACUUCACAAGUUUUAUGGAGACUGGCUCAUGCAAAGGGAUCACUUUUUGUGUCAAUAGUGGUUAUUGGCCUUACUUUCCGUUUGACAUAUAUUUGAGAAGGGAUAAACUUUUGGUAACCAGAGUAGCAUGCUGGGCUUAAUAUUUUUUUAUCACUGGUUCUUGCCUGGUAUUCUACUGAGAGUACUUUAACAAGUGAUAAACACAUUAUUCAUAUAGGUAUCCAUAGUGGCCAUCUGCUAAAUUAGCCUGUUGUUGUCAAUUUGCGAUUGUAUUGUACCUCUUUUGUAAUUAUAUACAAAAGGAGCUACAGUGACUGGGAGUUUGACUCGAUCUUCUCUUUUAUAAGAGUGGCUCAUGGAGUUAAGUUGAUGAUGGGUUUGAUGCUGUAAUCUGACCAUUGAAUGUAGAGGGGACUUUAAAAAAAUGGUUCCUCAAACCAAGGAUGAAUUACUUCGAGCUUUAUCGAAACUUGCCUGUUUAAUUCAGUUUGUGUCAAUAGUGGUUAUUGACCUUGCUUCCACUUGACAAUAUAUUGAGAAGGGAUAAACUCUUGGCAAUCGUAGUAGCAUGCUUUGGGCUUGACUUUUUUAAAUCACUGUUGUAUGUUGUGAUAGAGUCAAUAGGAAUGUGGUCAGAUUAUUCUCAUUGCUUUCCAUUUGUUUGGUAUUUUUUUUUUUUUUUGUGUGUGUGUUUCUGUGGGGAAUGUUAAUGGCGUGAAGGGUAUGCUGGGACGAAGAAGAAUCACAGAUAUUUGGGACUGCUAUUCUAGGUCUUAUGGAAUGGGAGAUAGGAGAUGCUUCAAGCUUGAAGCUCUCUCUAUGUUUAUGUGGAUUAUCCAUCUAAGUUUUACUGGGAGUCCCACAGAAAAUGUGCUGUUCAUAGCUCUUUAUGGAUCUGUUUGGUGCUUUAUUUGUAAUGUUAUCCGUGUAUAAGUUAGACAGAUGCAGAUAAGACAAUGUUCAACUAAACAGGUGCCAAAUGGAUUUUUGUCUUGAACAGCAAGAGAUAUUUGGAAUUUUGUUAAGAGAUUUCUUCCACAGAGGACCUGGAUCAAAUCAUGUGGCUGGAUCCCUCCAUUACACUCUUUUCACUAGAUAUAGAUAUGGUGGUUGUUGCUCUGAACUGAGUUUAAUUAUUACUUACAAAAGCAGAUGAGUGGAUGUUAUAUAGUAUUUUAUCAUGAGAGAAGUGCAAAGAAAAUCUGGUCCAGGGUUAUCUAAUAAUUAAGUCAUAGAAGCCUUUGCUAUUAUUAAUCAAUCUAUUAACUAACAGAAGGCUUCUGAACUUUUUAUUUAGAGAACUAACCUAGCCAAGCGUAAAUAGCAGCAGGUUCGACUCCACUAUGCUUUAUUUGGUCAGUCUAAGAUGUUGGCUCAGUGUUCUGUAACUCCUUAACCUUUGUUAUUUGCAGUAGCAUGUGUUGAAUGAGCCGUUAAGUGAUUUCUUCUGAGCUUUUUGCUGUAUUGCCUUAAAAUGAAUUGGAAGUGUUUGUAUGAUAGCUUUAGGAUAUGAGCCUGGAUGUUGAACUGUGGCAAUGAGUAGUUAAUUACUUAACCUGGGCGAGGUAACUUAGUUCUUGGCAGUUCUGAUUUUAUAGGGAGUUAUUGAUUGUUAUUACUACAUAAUAUGUAACUUGAAACAAUAUAAUGGUAAGCACCCUCCACUUCCAACCAAGAGGUUGUGAGUUCGAGUCACCCCAAGAGCAAGGUGGGGAGUUCUUGGAGUGAAGGAUGCCGAGGGUCUAUUGGAAACAGUCUCUCUACCCCAGGGUAGGGGUAAGGUCUGCGUACACACUACCUUCCCCAGACCCCACUAGUGGGAUUAUAUUGGGUUGUUGUUGUUGUUGUAAACAAUAUAAUUAUUCAAAUAAUGAAUGGGACAACUACCUACAACAUAAAUGUCUCGUUAAGGAGCAAUUCUUUUCUGGGCGAAGUACACUGGUAUAGAAUGUUUUGGGUGACGUCAACUUAUCAGUGUUUGUUCUUUUCCCAGGCAUGUGGAGCAGAUAGGAAAGAAGUCAGAGCUACACUUCCAUGAGGGCUGCGUUUGCAUAUUUUUUGAUCGCCUUCUCAUAUGCACAAGGGAUAAAGCUAUAACUACAGCAAAUAAUUGUAAUAGUAAAAUCAUUGGGCUUCAUCAUGCAUAGUAACUGAAAUGGUUUUAUCUUAAAUGUAGGAAAUUGCUUUUCUUUGUUAAUGUUUUCUUUCUCUAACUGUAAUCAUUGGGCUGGUGUAUCUUUUCUACACGUUCCAUCUUAGAUGGUAAUAAAUUUGAGUAUAGCACCAUUGAACGGUGUUUUCAGCUUGAAUUUUUUCCCCUAGCUUGACUUGUUUUCACUCUUAGACAUUCCAACCACCAUUUUACGUCAUUGUUCCCUAGUUCAUCUCAUUGUUCAGUUGUCGUCCUAUCUUGGUACUCGGUAGAGCUUCACAUUGGCAGGGUAUGGUACCAUUGAACUACUGUAUAACUGGUUCUGAACAGGCAAAUUGAUUGGUAAGGAGAUAAAGGAAGCAAGAGGAAAAGAGUUCUAUAAUUCUUUUAAUAUAGACAGCAAUGAGUUGAUAUGUCUCCUUCGUACACAUACACAAGGAUGUUUUACUUUGUAGACUGUGAACCAUUAGGGAGCAGGUGCAGGUAUGCUUGUUUCUGGGUUGUAUGCAUUUUCCCUAAACUUCAUCAAGCCUAUUUCUGUAUUUAUUUCAAAAUAGAGUUCAUAAUUUUAAAAUUGAGCUUUUAGUAUAGAGUGUGGUGAGAUGUUCCAUGCCUACUGUUUUCGCCAAUAUUAAAGGCAGCAGUUGCAGGUAUGCUUGUUUAGGGGGUGUAUGGCAUUUUCAAAAGUACGAAUACGGGAUUAGCAGACAAAAAGGUUAGCUGAAUGCUACUAUGGAUAGAGUAUCGAGAGCUCUUUUCCCCCUCACUGUAGUCUCUUUUUACAACUACGAUAACAAACCGGGUAAUGUGUACGCAGAAAGAGAGGCUAAACAAACAGUUACCUUGGCUCAAGAACAGUGAAAAUGACACAAUAAACAAACAGUGACCACGGUAGUCUCCUUUUCUUUUAAGUAUUUCAAUAUUUAUUCCCCUUAGUGGCAGCAUACUAAAAUGCUCGUAAAAGGAUGCAGCCAAACAACACCGUCUGAACUCUGACAAUAAAUAACUAUAGUAUUUCCUUCAAUUUAAAACAUCAUUGCAUCAGCAUUUUUGAUCAUUUUAUUCAAAACCUGUGGCUUUUCACAAUGGAUAUAGGAGGAUUGUUUUUUUCACAGCUGUGUUUUUCAGAGUUUGCAAAGGCCAAUGUCCCAUUUACACUUGCUCAGAGAAUCCAAUGUACUGCCACCUUGCCCACUCACUAUACUACAACUGACCAAGUAUUAUACUAAUACGAUCUAUUCAAUCACAACUACUCUUCUCCAAACCCCCAACUCACCUCACCGGCCAAUUCUUUUCCUUUUUUGUUUGUUUGAUCUAAUACAGCACGGGGUUAUAUAUAGUUUAUAAAGGCAUAUGAUUAUAGGCGGAAUAAGAUUUUAAGUUUAUGAGUUUUUAAUUUUAGAAAAAAUAGUUUAUUGGGUUCUGAAAAAAUUAUAUAUGCAUAUCAAGUAGAUUUUUAAUACAAAUACAGAGUUUGAGCUGAAGCUGCUAAAUCCAUAUUCAGAAUGGUAGCUCCCCUCGGUUAUGACCAUCUUAUGCAUUACCUUAAAUUUUUGAGUGUGAACGUAUUUUUAAAUUCAGUGGAAAUAUUUAAUAAAUUCAAACUCACAGUCUUGAAUGUGUAUUCAAGUUCAUAUCAUCGUGUGCGCUUCAAAUCAUGUAACGCGAAGGGAAAGAAGAAUGUACCACAAUAGCUAUAUUACGUUACAUGUAUGACUUACGUUGUAUAAUCGGAUAUAUGAGGGCAUAUAAAGAGGUCUAGAAAGACUUUGUAUCUAUUCAUUGUUAUGAAUUGGAUGUUAUAUAACCCUUUACAACAAACAAGGUCGUAGUAUGAAAAUUUGAAUUUUAUUGAGGCUGUGUUACCAGAAAAAACUCAUACUUUCUAACAACAAUGUAUAACAUUAUAUAUCACUACUUAUUUGUGGAGAUAUUUUGAAUUAUUUCAUCCCAACUAUUCUGAAAAUCGUUCUUUCUUAGUUAGAACUUCUUUGACUUAUACUCCAUAUAUUACUUGGCUAAAGCCUUUUGUCCAAGUUCUGCCGGUUGCCACUGAAAUUUAGCGUUGCUAUCAGGACCAUAUAUAUCAAUUCUGUAUAUUUAAUUCAUUUUUAUGUAAUGGAUUAUUGUUUUUCCACAAUCUUAAAGUCUACAUUCGAGUUAAUUCUAUUAUUAUAGUACGGUAUUUUAUUAUUUGAAAUGCGUUUUCCUCACUCGUUUACGUAACAUACGUACGUUAUGGGGGAAAGUAAGAUAUUGGAAGUGAUUCUUAAUUACAUUUUCAGAUGAUAGUUCACAGUUUUAGCUAGAUUAACAAAGGCAAUAAUUAGCUAGUUUAUGGAUGCAUGCAUUUACAAUCAAUAAACAAAUAAACCAUUAGGAAUUAGCAUAGUAAGAAAAGAAAAGGUCGAGUUAUGCAAAAACAACGGGGAUAUAACAAGCAAGCAACAAGAUUUACAACAAGUUGGCAAUUUUAAUAGAAACAAAUCUAUUCUAUUUGCUUGUAAUCCUAUAUAUACCAAAAUUGUCAUAGAGGGAAAAAACAAAAAAAGAAAAAAAAAAAAGAAAAAAAGAAAAGACUAGUAAGUGAGUGUCCCUUUUCUUUCUUUAUUCCUUUUUUUUUUUUUAGAGUGGGCAAGGGUAAUCUAGAAUUUGAAGUUUAUGUGUUCCACAACAAACUCAAAUUAAUAUAGAAUAAUAACCGAGUUUAUAAUAAUUAUUUAUAAAUAUUUAACGAAUUGUUAAUAUAUAUAAAAGGUCUUGACAAAAUUUAUUAAAUUUACUAAUACGUGCAGCAAAUAACCACGGCAGAGUCUUGCCAAAUUUCGGAAGAGUGGAGUUUCUAACUUUCAUGUGCAGCAUGUUGUUUACUACUAUGCUUAGUUAAUAAAUAGUUCGUCAAACGAUGUCUGGGACAUAACAAAUCUUGUAAAAAGUAGUGAUUAUUAUAUCUAAUAACAAGUUGGUACCCAGAAUCUGAAGCAACCCAUUUAAAUAUUAUUAUACCUUCACUGUAAUUCCAACUAUUAUUUAAUAUACAUAAUCGUGCAGUGAAAUUUUCUGCCUGUUGAAGACAAUAAAAUAUUCCUCUUCACUACAGCUUUUCUUCACCUUAUAAGGGCCUGAUGUUUUUUCUUAUUUUCAAUAUAGAAAGAAAAAAAAAAGCUAAAAAGAAAAAUAUAAAGACAGAGGGAGUCAAUUAGAUUUAGCGGUUGGCAUGUCUCUUUAAAUAGAAAAAAAAUGAAAAAAGGAUCCACCUAACAAAACAUCAGGUGUGCCUAAUGUGUCAUGAGGGUUUGAAUAAUUACCCAAUAUAUGUUAAUGUGCUACAUAUACAAUUUUGGUCCAACUCAUAAUUAACACGCAUUUAAAUAUGUUAUUUUUAAUUUUAACUUUUAAUAUACUAUCAUUUUAUCAUUAGUAAUACAAAUAUCAUGGCAUAUCUAAGACACAAAUUUCAAAAGUCUGAACUUUUUAUUAACUCCGUACACUUAAUCAAUUAGUUUCAGAUAAAUUAAAUUUGAGGUAAUAGUAAUUGUUAAUACUUAAUAAGUGUUUAGACAUAGAUUUGUUUGAAACUUGAAAAAAUGAGUUUUUAAAGAUGAGAAGAAAAAUAAUUUUUGAAAAUUGAAAUUGUGUUUGGACAUGCAUUUCACUUGAAAACACUACCAUCCAAAUGCCCAUUUCCUACAUCAUAUAUAAUAUUUUAAAGAUGGUAUACCACCAAAUUAACAUAAAAUGAAAAGAAGAAAAACUUUAUACUCCAGGUGAAAAUUACUACAGCUUUCAAAGGCCUCGUUUGUCCAUAAAAAAAAAAUUGGUUCAAAAAUGUAUUUGUCUAUGAAAUUUUACAAGUUUUUAAAAAUUUUUUAAAAAUGAGUUUUUCAAAAACCAAAAAGUGGUUUUGACCACUUUUCAGAAAAACUUUUUUUCCACUCAAAAAACUGUAAUAUUUUUUUCCAAAUAUAAUUUCAAGUAUCAGUUUUCAACUCAACUCCAAAUAUUAUUUUUUUCAAAAAUUAUAAUUUUUAUGUUGAAACGCCUACUAAUAUGAAGAGAAAAUAUGGAAAGAAUUAGAAGGGUAGGAAAGGAAAAAAAAAAAGAGCACGUGAUCUCACGUGGCAUAAGUAUAGCCUUUAGCUGGACUAUAUAUAUAGUGUUAGGGAAGGUGGCUAAUUUCUACAUCAAUCACAGCUCGCUUAUAUUCCCACUCCCCAGCUGUCACCCACUUGGCCUCUUCAAAGUUAGGCAUAUUCCUUUCCGAUCAAAAUGUAUUUUCAGCUUCUAUUUUAUAAAGUCAAUAAAUAUAUAAUAGUAAUAUUUUUAAUGCAAAAUUAUUAAUUAAUUAUGAUAAAUAAUUUGUAUUUUUUAUUUAAUUCUUAAUUAUUAUGGUUAAAAUAUUUAAUUUUGUGUAGAUCAAAUAUGAAUAACUAUUUACUCCCUCCAUUUGACCCGUCAACUCCUUUAGUUCCUUACCUAAAACCCUGUGCUCCAGGAUUUCAAGUUUUGCAUUAAUAUUAUAUAACUUUCUUGUACAAUCAGAUUAAGUUGAUUUAUUACUACACAUUUUUUAGUGUAAGUUUGAUAUGAUGAUUAAAAAAUUAAAUAACAACAAUAUAAUGGGUUCAAUCUUUUAGUAACAAAAUAAGUUAAUUUAGAUUCUUAAUUCAAUAAAGUAUUUACCAUCAGUUAUCAAAUUAAAUUAUCAAAUGAUGCUUUGAAUGAUCAAUUGAUUACGAAAUCAAUUAGUCGUCUUAGAAAUGUUCGGUGUGAGCUACAUUCUUUUUAUUUUAUUUCUAGUUUUUUUCAUUUGUGUUAUCUGAUGUAAAAGAACUUCUGACUUCUCAAUGGUUAUUAUAUAAAUAAAUAUUAGCACAUACAUGAAUCACAUUAUAGAGUCGAUAAAAAAUGUCUAAUACGAGAAUAUUCUGUUAAAUUUCCUUGUCAAUUUGGAAUAGUUCAAGGAUAUACAUAUUAGUCGUUCGCCUGUUCAGAUUUAGAUAUUUCAAUAUACGUUUUAAUUUUGUAAAACCUAAGAAUAUUAUGACGCAUUUAAAUUACUUCUUCCGUUUCAAUUUAUGUGAAUCUAUUUUUUUUUAGUUCGUACAAAAAAAGAAUGACUCAUUUCUAUAUUUUGAAAUAUUUUGCCUUUAUGCAAUCAUUUAUAACUAUACAAAAUAGGGGUGUACAUAGAUCGGGUUGGUUCGGAUUUUUCAAUUAUCACACCAAACCAAUGUUGUCGGGUUUUUAAAUUUAUACACAAACCAACAAAAUCGGAUUUUUCAAUCUCGAUUUUCUCAAGAUUUUUCGGAUUUUCGGAUUUUUUUCGGUAAAGUCUUCAUAGCAUAAAAUAUGUAACUUGUGCUCCAAAUAUUUUUUAAGUCCUAGUAAAAUAUAACUAUAUCAUGUAUUUUCCAAGAAACUAACACAAUAUUAUGAGAUAAGUCAUAGCAUUAUACUAAAAUAUUCAAUAACAAAGAUAAAAUAAUAAAAUUACAUAAAACAAAUAUUGCUAAUUAAUAAGCUAUAAUAAAAAUUAACAUAAUCUAAAAAUACUAUAUAGGUCAUGCUAAAAUAAGUAUAGCUAAUAAAUACUAAUAUUAAUUACAUAACUAAGUACUAAGGAAAAAGAUAAACUAAGUUAUGCAUUUUCAUUAUAAAACAAUGUAAAACUAAAAUAAUUAUCCAAUACUAUUGUCAUUCCUAGUAUUAAAUUGAAUUUCUUUUGUUACCAUUAGUAUUGAUUUGAACUUUGUUUGAGUUACUACAUUUAUGAGCUUUAAAAUUUAUUUACCAUUCAAGAAUAUUAAGUCUAAACUUGAAAUAAUAUGUUAAAAGAUAAAACUGUGAAUUUUUUUUAAGAAAUAUUUAUAAAUUACAUUACAAUAAAUAUUUAUAUGUAUAAAAUAUUUGUAAAAAUUAUAUAAAUGUACUAUCGGGUUGAUGUUUCAGUUUAACUUUUUUUAAUUAAAAUCAAAUUAAACCAAUUAUGGUCGGAUUUUGUUAUCAAAUACCAAAUCAAACCAAACCAUAUCGGAAUUUUUUUUUCCGGUUUGACUCGGAUUAUCGGUUUGGUGCGAUUUAUCGGUUUUCUUUGUACACCCCUAACACAAAAUAUAUGUACCCCAUUUUACACCACAAAUUCAAAGAUUUUCUCUUUCUUCUUAAAUUCUGUGCUCAAUUAAAUAGGUUUAUAUAAAUUGAAACGGUGUGAGUAUAAGAUUACGCUUCUCUUUUAUUUCUGCAAAAUAAUUACAAUGACGACGAAAGUCAUAAAUGUAAACCAAGACGUGAUGUCCACGUAAUGAUUUAUGGCAUCGAAAUUACUUUGAAGACAAAUUCAAUUGACCUCUUAAACUUUUUCGAAACCGAUGCUUAAUUGAUUUUUUUACAUGUUAUAAAGAAUCUUCUCAAGCUCAUAUUUUCUCGUAGCUUCAAGCAUUUGAAAUUAGAAUUUUGUUCAUGUAAACUGUGCUAACGUUUAUCAUGGUUAGUCUUGUUAUAAAUAGUUAUAAUUAAUUAAUUUAAAUAACAAAGCCACUAAACAAAUGAAAAUAUGGCAAUAAAAAAAAAUAUUUAUUUUUUUAAUGCAAAACUGACUAGUUAAAUUAAAAGCUUACAAGUAAACAUAUCAAGUUACAUUAAGAAUUUUGAAAUUCUAAGUGAAAAAGGGCCACAUAAAACAAAGUGAAGUGGGUAUAUAAAGAAAGUUAGAGAGAAAAAAUUAGGCCUAGGACUGUACUUUUUAAGUAAUACUCCUUCCGUUUUAAUUUAUGUGAACUCAUUUGACUGGACACGGAGUUUAAAAAAAGAGAGAAGACUUUUGAACUUGUGCUGUAAAAUAAGGCACAUAUAUUUUGUGUGACUAUAAAUCAUUGCAUAAAGGUAAAUUGUUUCCAAAUAAGGAAAAAGAUCAUUCUUUUUGGCACGGACUAAAAAAGAAAUAGGUUCACAUAAAUUUGAAACGGAGGAAGUACUAGUAUAAUAUUUUUGCACAAACACAUAAUUUUCGUAUAAUUAGCAUGUGAACCAAAUGAUUUUAAAGAAAAGUUCAGCAUUUUAACCCCCACCAGCUUAUCUAAUUUGGAGGUAAUAAAUAAUAGAAAUGCCAAAAAGAUAAAUAUGUGACAUUGGGUAGAAUAGAUACAAAAAACGUUAAAAUAGUAAUUGCAAAAAAUACACUAGAGCUAACUACUAACUAUACCCAACCGAGAAUUAUGUCUUUUCUCAUAACAAACUUCCACGUAUAAUAUUUCACUAAACAACUCCAAUAAUUAAAUUCCAAAACUUACCAACUACGAAAACCCUUUACUUCUUUUGUUUCGUAAUUACUAAAUUAAUCUCCACGUAAUACGUAAUUCCCCAUUAUAAUCACCUUUAGAUAAUACAGUACACUCAUUCAACUGAAUCACACGCGCACCCUAAACCGCGCGUGUAAACAGUAGCAUUGAGCUUGCAGUUUUUAUAUAAAACCAAGCUAACCCCAUGCCUUCGAGGAAUUGUAGAUAGUGACAGCGAAAAAGAUCAAUAAAAAAUCCCAUAUUUUUCUCUCUCUAUUUAUGGUAAUAAAAUUAAAAGUGAUUUUUUGAGUAAUAAUCACUGAAUACGGUCUUUUUGUUCGAAUUUACCAUUGUUGAACGAAUCUGGAUGUUCAAUAUGUAUAUAUAUGGUAAUUUAUUAACCUUUCUUUGGCCUUUCCUUUUCCAGAACUCUCCCUUUCCUUCUAUUCUUUCCUUCACCAUAAUGCUGCAUCAAUAACGUUACAUUUAUAUAUAGGGAGAGAAAAUUAACCAUAUUUUCUCAACAAAGAAAAAAACCCAGAAACCCAGAUGAAAAUGGGUCGUUUUGGGUUUUUUGAUAUUACUGUGGUUUGUAUUCUGUUGCCUCUUUUGUUUUCGCGGUGUUAUGGGAUUCGCAGUUUCCCAGAGGAGAGGCGAUUUGCAGAGGCGCCGGAGUACAGAAACGGCGUCGGAUGUCCGGUGACGGCGGAGGGUAAAACGUUAUCGUCUUGUGAUCCCUCAUUGGUCCACGUGGCGAUGACGUUGGAUUCUGAGUACCUCCGCGGAUCCAUGGCGGCUGUUCACUCAGUCCUCCGCCACGCGUCUUGCCCCGAACACGUCUUCUUUCACUUCAUCGCCGCUGAGUUCGACGCGACGAGCCCCCGCGUGUUGACACAGCUGGUCCGAUCCAUUUUCCCUUCCCUCAACUUCAAAGUCUACAUUUUCAGAGAAGACACAGUCCUAAAUCUCAUCUCAUCAUCGAUCCGACAAGCUCUCGAAAACCCGUUAAACUACGCCCGGAACUAUUUGGGCGAUAUGCUCGACCCGUGCGUGACACGUGUCAUUUACUUGGACUCCGACGUAGUACUCGUCGACGAUAUUCAGAAGCUGUGGAGGGUGAACCUUACCGGGUCCCGAAUCAUCGGAGCACCUGAAUACUGCCACGCGAAUUUCACGAUAUACUUCACCGAUACAUUCUGGUCCGACCCGGUAUUAUCCCGGGUAUUCGGGUCGAGAAAGCCGUGUUAUUUCAACACGGGCGUAAUGGUAAUGGAGUUGAAGAAAUGGAGAGAAGGAAAUUACAGGCAGAGAAUAGAGAGGUGGAUGGAGUUACAGAGACAGAAGAGGAUUUACGAAUUGGGCUCAUUGCCGCCGUUUUUGCUUGUAUUUGGUGGGCUCGUCGAGCCCAUUAAUCAUAGGUGGAAUCAACAUGGGCUCGGCGGUGAUAAUGUAAAGGGGUCGUGUAGGUCAUUACAUCCAGGCCCAGUAAGUUUGUUACAUUGGAGUGGAAAAGGAAAACCAUGGGUUAGACUUGAUGAGAAAAGACCAUGUCCUUUGGAUUAUCUUUGGGAGCCAUAUGAUUUAUACAAGCACAAUUACAGGAGCAAAGUGAGACAUAAUUUGGGUUUUUUAACUAGUACUAAUCCUUUUGGUUACUCUAAUUAUUUCAUUUGAUUGAUCAUUCUUUUACACUUUUGGUUUUUUUUUUGUUGACAAGGUGAUUUAAGUGAUUCUUUGAUAGCCUUGUACAGAUUGGUUAGAUGAAAAAAAAAAAGAAGAGAGAAUAUUGAUGGUCAUAGUUUAAAAUUUUAAUGGGGAUGUAAUGUGUUUUAUUUAGGAGUUAAAGUUUAUUACAUUAAUUUUUUUUUUGCUGGUUCCACGGACUUGGAACAAUUUUGGAGAAUUGAUUCGAUUUGUAUGUUGGGAUAUACAUGAGAAGAGGAAUAACUCGUUUCUUGUUUC